GACUACAUACGAGGCGUAAUUGGCAAC
Molecule: non-coding RNA, 27 nt
Filed under: Drosophila melanogaster (fruit fly)
Lineage: Eukaryota; Metazoa; Arthropoda; Insecta; Diptera; Drosophilidae
Source: RNAcentral